UAAGAGGAGGGGGAGGGCGCGGAGCCCUGCGGGCGGCCGGAGGACCGGCGGGCGGUGACUGCGACCACCGCUCUCGGGCAGCGGACGCGCUUUGGAAGACAAGUGGAAAACUACGAUUAAAAAAACAUAGCCAUGAAAAUAAGUGAGAUUAAAACCUGCCGGCUUCACUUCCUGGAGGCUUUUUGUUGGGUCUUGAAACUAGAAGUCUUUGCGGGUCAUCCUUGCGACUUCCCUGGUGGUGCAGUGGUUAAGGAUCCGCCUGCCAAUGCAGGAGACACGGGUUCGAGCCCUGGUCCGGGAAGAUCCCACAUGCCGCGGAGCAACUAAGCCCGCGAGCCACAACUACUGAGCCCUCGCGCCACAACUACUGAAGCCCAGGCACCUAGAGCCUGUGGCUCUGCAACCAGAGAAGCUACCACAGUGAGAAGCCCCGGCACCGCAACGAAGAGUAGCCCCCGCUCACCGCAACUACAGAAAGCCCGCGCUCAGCAAUGAAGACCCAACGCAGCCAAAAAUAAAUAAAUUUUUAAAAAUAAAUUAAAAAAAAAAAUCAGGAUAUUUCACAGGGAAAGCUGGACUUUUGGCUUCUUUGGCUGCGAGUUUUCUGCCCCAGACAAAUCACUUCAUCUGGUGUUUGGCCUUUUUUAUAAGGAUUAUUAAAGUCAUAGGUGGUUCAGACAUUUUCUGUCUAGACCUAAUGCAUGUAUAAUUAAAACCUCAAAUCUUGAUUUCCAGAAAUUCAUCUUGACAGAUUCAACCAAUCAGAAACUGAGUCUGCGUACAUUCCCUAAAGACAGGCGCUACGGAAUGUCCGGAUUCCCUCCAUUCUGCAUUUGCCCAAGAUGCAGCAAGACAUAGGGAGAAAUACAAGUCCAAUUGUGCCAUAAAAAUGAGAGAGGAUUUCAGUAUUCCAAGAAUUCUACAAAGUGAGUUACACCUGAAAAUUCAGCGCACUUACCUCGGGAGAGCAGGUUUUCUCCAUCCGAAGACUCCCUGACCCCAGCACCUCCGGCCCCCAGGUGGGGCUCUGGCUGCAGCCUCCAGGCCACUGCCCGGGUGGGACGGGGCCUGCGACACCAGCCAGGCUCCAGCCACCCUGCUAGGACCCCUGGGCCUGGGAAGGGGCCGGAAGUCCCCUCCAGCACCAGGCAGGGGCUGGGGGGAAGCGACCCCCUGUCCCCGUGGAAGGCUGGGUCCCAGCAGCCCCCUGCUACCAGCUGCGCCCCCAUCAAACGUGCGCCCACCUUCGAGAAGGGAACAUGUGGGCUCCUAGACACUCAUCCGGGCAGCGCUGGGUCUGUUCUGUUGAUCGCUGGGUCUCCAGUGCCAAGCAGGGUGCCUGGCUCCUUUGCAAGUGAAUGAACGGACCCUGAAGGAGAAGCUGCCUCCUAAUCAGUCAAGGAGCUGGAUUUCUCAGCUUUCCAUUCUUAGGCGGUGUUGACAUCUACCUGUGGAGACAGACUGGAUUUAUCUGGGGGGUAAGGAAAUUCAUUCUCCCCGGCUUUAUAUAUUUUCCAACCCACAGUGUCGGAGCGGCUAAAUAUUAGUGGUCUUUAGUUUCUUUAUGUGAUGUAUACCACUUGUCAUUGUUUAAUGUAAUCUUAUGUCAUUUAAAGGUUAAAUUAUAGGGUGACUAGAAAGCGACAAUAAUAUAAUCUUAAGCACAAUCAUUUAGAGGAAGAUUUCCCCCUAAAACUUGGUUAAAAUAAAUUUGAGAAAGACGCAGUUCAAUUCAUUCAACAAAUUUGACUUUGUGACAGAUCCAACGUAGUCUGUUGUAUUUAAUAAGAAUUCAGCCCGUAAAGGGAGAUUUAAUGACAUUAAUGAGAUUAGCUUUAUGUAUUAAUGGAACUGAAGGAGUCAACUCUAAAAGCAAAUGUUCUCUAAACCUAAAUAUUUUAUACUCAAGAAAAUCCGCUGGGGACUUCCCUGGUGGCGCAGUGGUUAAGAAUCCGCCUGCCAAUGCAGGGGACAGGGCUUUGACCCCUGGUCUGGGAAGAUCCCACAUGCCGCGGAGCAACUAAGCCGGUGAGCCACAACUACUGGGCCCCUGCGCCACAACUGCUGAAGCCCGCAUGCCUAGAGCCCGUGCUCCACAACAGGAGAAGCCACCGCAACGAGAAGUCUGCGCACCACAACGAAGAGUAGCCCCCGCUCGCCGCAACUAGAAAAAGCCCGCACGCAGUAACGAAGACCCAACGCAGCCAAAAGCAAACAAAUAAAUAAUUAAUUUUAAAAAAAAUUGAAAGACUUCUUUGUACUGGGUGAAAACUUAGAUUUCAAACCUAAUUUUGAUCAGCUUUAUCACUAAUACAUUUUGCUAGUUUAUUCCUUAAAAAUCUUUCUCAGAGUCUCUCCUCUUAACUCUCUGAAGUGAUACCAGAUGGGUUUUAUGUUUUUAGCUAAAAUUGGAUCCUGGGAAAGAAUCUAGAGUAGAUGAUAGGAAGAUGACUGUCACCUGACAAUUUCCAUUACCUACCUAACUGCCUUCCUCCCUGGAAUUAAAGAGACCAGAAACUUUAUGGAGACCCACAUUCCCAAACCCUUGGGAGGAAGAAUAACAGUUUUAGGAAUUCGUGUUUCCGAAAAUUAGUAAUAGCUACUCCUUGUAAGUCUAUUGCAGUGAAAUCACAACCAGCUGCCUAUCUCUAGAAAAAAAGGUUCCAGAUUUCCUUUCCCUGGAAUGUGGCUCCAGAGAGGCUGUUCCAUUUCAAAGGAGGUGCUUUGAUUGGGUGCACAGUAGGUCCCUCAAUAAGGCAAUGUCAACCGUUGUAAACAAAGUUCCCUAGAACAGGUCCUCCAUACCCAGUUACCUGGGAGCUCCUGCUCAAGCUUUGGGUCAGUUACCCUGCCAUCCAUGCUAGCUGCCAUCCUUGGCCCAAGUGUUGUCCACUAACUUGCCAAAGCGUGACUGGAACAUCAUCAAACUCCCAAACAGUAUCCCAGGCUCCUGGGUAAGUCCACUUAUUUAUCAUAUGCUUUACUCUUGGUCUACAGAUUUAUUUAUUUAUUUAUUUAUUUAUUUAUUUAUGUAUUUUUGUGGUAUGCGGGCCUCUCACUGUUGUGGCCUCUCCCGUUGCGCGGAGCACAGGCUCCGGACGCGCAGGCUCAGUGGCCGUGGCUCACGGGCCCAGCCGCUCCGCGGCAUGUGGGAUCUUCCCGGACCGGGGCACGAACCCCCAUCCCCUGCAUCGACAGGCGGACUCUCAACCACUGCGCCACCAGGGAAGCCCUACAGAUUUAAAUAAAAAGAAGUAAAGCAUGUAUUAAACUCUGACAUCAGCAUUUAUUAAUUUUUUGGGUCUUCCUUUCAUCCUAUUUGAUGGUGGAGACAUGAAAGCUAGUAAAGAUAUAUUUUGAGGUUAACUUCUGUUUGCACGA
This is a long non-coding RNA of Physeter macrocephalus (sperm whale), 3381 nucleotides long. RefSeq lists it as uncharacterized. NCBI's taxonomy places the organism in Eukaryota, Metazoa, Chordata, Mammalia, Artiodactyla, Physeteridae. The record is from RefSeq and is a predicted model, not a curated record. The transcript has 6 exons.